Molecule: unclassified non-coding RNA, 436 nt
Filed under: Hevea brasiliensis (rubber tree)
Lineage: Eukaryota; Viridiplantae; Streptophyta; Magnoliopsida; Malpighiales; Euphorbiaceae
Source: RNAcentral
CUUUGUUUUCUUCUUCAUUAAGAAUCUGUCCCUGUAGAUCUAUGCAAUAUAUAUAAGGAUCAAACUGUUAGAUUACCGUUGAAACGGAAAAAAUGCCUACUCGCUGUGAGAUCUGCUGCGAAAUCCUUAUUGCAAUCUUGCUUCCUCCUUUGGGCGUUUGCUUCAGGCAUGGCUGUUGCAGCGUUGAGUUUUGUAUUUGUUUGUUGCUGACUAUCCUAGGUUAUGUCCCUGGAAUAAUCUAUGCUCUGUACGCCAUCGUUUUCGUUGAUCGUGAUGAAUACUUCGAUGAGUCUAGGCGUCCUCUCUAUUCAUCAUACUAGUAAAUCAGUACCUUCUUGUUCUUAAUCUUUAAGCUGUAACGUCUGAAUUUAUAUCUGGUGUUUAAACUCUUCUUAAUAAGAUCAAAUUUUAUGCUUCAUUUGCUUGACAAUUUGGG